ACUAAACAGCUAGCUUAACUAACACACUAAACCACACAACAUUAAUAAAGUUUAACAAACAUAAAUAAAAAAACUAAACCAUUCUACUGCCUUAGUACGGGCGACGAAAAAGGCAUGCACAAGCGAUAGAAAAAGUACCGCAAGGGAAAGCUGAAAGAGAAAUGACACAAAUCAUUUAAGUAAAACAAAGCAGAGAUUAAACCUCGUACCUUUUGCAUCAUGAUUUAGCCAGUCCAAUUGAGCAAAGGGAACUUUAGUUCAAACCCCCGAAACCAAGUGAGCUACCUCGAGACAGCCUUCAAUAUAGGGCCAACCCGUCUCUGUGGCAAAAGAGUGGGAAGAGCUCCAGGUAGCGGUGACAGACCUACCGAACUUGGUGAUAGCUGGUUGCCUAGAAAAUGGAUACAAGUUCAGCCUCAUACCCCUUAGUUCAACACUUAUUUACUUCACGACGAACCCAAGAGACAUAUGAGAGUUAUUCAAAGGAGGUACAGCUCCUUUGAACAUGGAUACAACCUUUCAAGGAGGUUAAGGAUUACACCCUACAAGAUCACUGUUUAAGUGGGCCUAAAAGCAGCCACCCUUACAGAAAGCGUUAUAGCUCAGACAGACCCUAAUCUAUUAUCCUAAUAACUACUCCGAAACCCCUAAAACUACUAGGCCAUUCCAUGCUAACAUGGAAGAGACCCUGCUAAAAUUAGUAACAAGAAAGCAACCCUUUCUCCUAGUUCCAGUGUAAGUUAGAUCGGACCCACCACUAACAAAUUAACGACCCCAAUCAAAGAGGGCACUGUAAUCUAUAAAAAACACAAGAAAAGCCUACAAAUAUUAAUCGUUAACCCCACACAGGAGAACCUAAUGGAAAGACUAAAAGAAGAGGAAGGAACUCGGCAAACACAAGCCUCGCCUGUUUACCAAAAACAUCGCCUCCCGCAAAUCUCAAUGUAUAGGAGGUCCUGCCUGCCCAGUGAAUUAGUUUAAACGGCCGCGGUAUCUUAACCGUGCAAAGGUAGCGCAAUCACUUGUCUUUUAAAUGAAGACCCGUAUGAAUGGUGAAACGAGGGCUUAACUGUCUCCCCCCUCAAGUCAGUGAAAUUGAUCUGCCCGUGCAGAAGCGGACAUAAAAAUACAAGACGAGAAGACCCUUUGGAGCUUAAGACACCAAGACCAACUAUGUCAAAACCUGUAAUGAACAGACUAAACAUAAUAUACAGCUGGUCCUAGUCUUCGGUUGGGGCGACCACGGGGGAAAACAAAGCCCCCACGCGGAAUGGGAAAAUACCCUAAAACUAAGAGGGACACCUCUAAGUCGCAGAAAAUCUGACCAAUAUAGAUCCGGCUAACAGCCGAUCAACGAACCAAGUUACCCCAGGGAUAACAGCGCAAUCCCCUCCCAGAGUCCCUAUCGACAAGGGGGUUUACGACCUCGAUGUUGGAUCAGGACAUCCUAAUGGUGCAGCCGCUAUUAAGGGUUCGUUUGUUCAACGAUAAAAGUCCUACGUGAUCUGAGUUCAGACCGGAGCAAUCCAGGUCAGUUUCUAUCUGUAACGCUAUUCUUUCCAGUACGAAAGGACCGAAAAAAUGAGGCCCAUAUUAAAAACACGCCUCACCCUUAAUUAAUGAAAUCAACUCAACUAACUAAAAGGAAGGCAUGCCCCCAACUCGAGACAAGGUCAU
This 1677-nucleotide ribosomal RNA is filed under the name Ichthyborus sp. NM-2010. RNAcentral's name for it is "16S rRNA". The stretch from base 95 to 1568 matches the Rfam family "Bacterial large subunit ribosomal RNA". The record is from RNAcentral. Lineage: Eukaryota; Metazoa; Chordata; Actinopteri; Characiformes; Citharinidae. RNAcentral also lists the same sequence under 1 other name.